UACGUAGGGAGCAAGCGUUGUCCGGAAUCAUUGGGCGUAAAGCGCGCGUAGGUGGCCACAUAAGUCCGUUGUGAAAGUCAAAGGCUCAACCUUUGAAAGCCGAUGGAUACUGUGUGGCUAGAGUACGGAAGAGGCGAGUGGAAUUCCUGGUGUAGCGGUGAAAUGCGCAGAUAUCAGGAAGAACACCAAUGGCGAAGGCAGCUCUCUGGGACGGUACUGACGCUGAGACGCGAAAGCGUGGGGAGCGAACAGG
RNAcentral lists this ribosomal RNA (253 nucleotides) under uncultured bacterium. RNAcentral's name for it is "partial 16S ribosomal RNA". It matches the Rfam family "Bacterial small subunit ribosomal RNA", at positions 524 to 776 of the family's 1533-position model. The record is from RNAcentral.